RNAcentral lists this long non-coding RNA (328 nucleotides) under Neogobius melanostomus (round goby). Its description in RNAcentral is "lncRNA (ENSNMLG00000023256.1)". The record is from RNAcentral. Lineage: Eukaryota; Metazoa; Chordata; Actinopteri; Gobiiformes; Gobiidae.
AAAGACACAAACUAGAGGUCCUGGUUUUGUCCCAGUACCAGAACAAAGGUGGAGAGCUGCUCUACAUUUUGCAUCUGCCUUCUUUAAUUUGAGUCAGUGUUAUGAACCAAUGUCUUGUUUUUCUUGCAGAACCACCACCACAUCCCCCCAUAGCAUUGAUUGUGGGGAGUCUGGUGGGGAUCAUGUGUGGCCUUGGUGCUGUUGUUGUUGUUGCUUUUCUUUACCGAAGACGACAGAAGAAUAAAACCGCAAACACAAUGAACGCAGUCUCCCAGGUUCCUCCUGCUCCACAGCCAGAGCAGAGUGACGCUGAUCCUCCGAACCCGAC